RNAcentral lists this long non-coding RNA (4411 nucleotides) under Sus scrofa (pig). RNAcentral's name for it is "lncRNA (ENSSSCG00005015468.1)". The record is from RNAcentral. Lineage: Eukaryota; Metazoa; Chordata; Mammalia; Artiodactyla; Suidae.
UUUUUUUUCUUUUUUUUUUCUUAGUUUUAGCUUUAUCUUUUACAGACAAUGUAUUUUUAUAGUCAAGGAUAAAUUCACAAAAAAAUGUUAAAUAUCAUGUUACUCUGAUAUUUUGUAUAUACUACAUCUUCCUUCCAUCUUCAUUUUCCUUUUCACUGUAGUAUAUUUUAAAACAAUUCUUUAACAAGGUUUUAUGGUUAUUAGAAUAUCAUAGUAUUUCUCAGUAUGUCUUUAUUCUUAUUCUUGAAUGAUAAUUUAGCUGGGCAUGUAUUUCUAGGUUAUAUUUCCUCAAAACUUUGAAAAUACUGUCUUACUGCAUUCCAUCAUCUCUCUGUUGCUGAAGAGAAUUUUGUUGUCUGUUUAACUCUCAUUUAUCUUGUCAGUCAUCUGGCUGCUUCUGAAAUAUUCUCUUUAAUCUUUAUAGUUGGCAGUUCAACUAUGAUGUACCUCAGCUGUGUUUGUUUCUAUGUUUUUAAUUUUUAUCUUAUUCAGAACUCUAGGAAAUAUAUUAAAUUGAAGAUCUAGCCUUUUUAAUAUUUGAAAAAGCCCAGCUCUUGACUCUUCAAACACUGUCAUUUUCUCAGUUUCUAUUUAUGGAUCUCUUAGAAUCUUGAUAUAGUUCUCAUGAUUCUCAUUUUCCAUUUGCCCCUUUAUCAGUGAUGUGUUCUGGGGUGAAUCCAUCAGGAACAUUUUCCUAUUUCCUGUUUUAUAUUCAGUUUAGAUAUUUUCUUGCCUCUUAAAUUUUUUAUUUUAAUGAAUGUAUUGGUUUCAUUUUGAAAUACUUAUUUUGUUUGCUCUCCUACCCACCUUUUCUUGUUUCAUUUUUAUUUGCUUUACAAUUUAUUCUAUAGAUGUGAUUUAUUAUAUGUUUUGAACAUUCUCAACAUGUUCCAAAAUUUAUCUUUUGGUUACUGAUUUUGUUUUACUUAGUAUGCUCUUUCUUCAUCUUUCCCUCCAUAUUAAUUUAUAAAAUUAAAAUAUCUAUGUUAAUAUCCUUAGACCGUUGGUCUUCGUAAGUAUUAGAAUUUUGGUUUACAGAAAUUCCCUCUAAAAAAAGAAGAGGUUUGUUUCUUUGUUUUAUCAUUUCUUGCCUUCUCCUCUCAUUUCCUGCACAUCCUUCUCUGUGUGGUAAUUUUGAAAUUACCUCCAUCACCUUAACCUCCCCAAACUCUAAGUUAAGAAACAGGCUUACUCUAAGUUAAGAAAUAGGGAUUUAGGCAGUUCCUGCUGUGGCUCAGCACUAAUGAACCCAAUGAGUUUCCAUGAGGAUGUGUAUUUUAUCCCUGGUCUUACUCAGUGGGUUAAGGAUCCUGUGUUGCCAGGAGCUAUGGUGUAGAUUGUAGAUGUGGCUGAGAUCCUGCAUUAUGUGGUUGUGGCAUAGACCAGCAGCUACAGUUCCAAUUUGACCCCUAGCCUGGGAACCUCCAUAUGCCAUGGGUGCGGCCCUAAAAAGACAAAAAAUAAAACAUAAAAUAAAAAUAAUUUUCAAGCCAAUUUCUAAGAGAGUGAUAGUUUGGGAAGAAAGAGCAGACAGAAGAUUUAACUCUGAACAUUAAAGUAUCUGUCUAGGUCUAAUAGGUCUUGUGUCUCAUAGAUAAGUAGGAGACAGACCAGAUGAGUCUCUACCCAAAAAAGAACAAAUAGAUUAGGAAAGUUGACCUUAUGAUUGAAACCUCUGAAAACAAACUCCUUAGACAAGAGAUGAGCUAAUAGUGAGGGCUGAGAAAAGGACGAUUGGAGAUACGAAGUCAAAUAUACAUUUCUCUAAAUAGCAAUUCAGUAUCAGUGGAGGAAUAAAGGAAGGAAAGAAGGGAAGGAGGAGAGAGAGGAAGAAAAAAGGAAAGAGAGGGAGGGGGAAUAAAGGAGAGAAGGAUGAAGAGAGGGAGGGGUGGAGAAUGGGAAAAAGGAGGAAAAGGAGGGAGGAAGGGGUGGAGGGAAGUAGAAGGAGGGUGAAAGGNNNNNNNNNNNNNGGAAAGAGGAAAAAAGGAAGAAAAAAUGAAAGAGAGAGGGGAAAAUAAAGGAGAAAAGACUGAAGAGAGGGAGAGGUGGAGGAAGUAUGGGACAAAAGGAGGGAAGAAGGAAGGAGGGAGGGAAGGAAACAGGAAGGAAGGAAAAGAGGGGAAGGAUGUGGAGAGGGAGAAGUGGAGGGAGGAAGGGAAAAAAGAAUGGAGAAGAAAGAGAGGACAAGACAGCAGAUAAAGUGAUAUUGCAAAGACAGGAAGGGAAUUGAGUAAACAGAUAAAAGCUCUUCAAUUCUAAAAAUUUUGAGAUGUUAGUGCAAAAUCUCAGUCACUGGGAAUUCUUCUAAAGCAUAAACAGCUUUCUUUCUGAGCCAGUUUAAAUGUACUUAAAUAGCACCCUGAGCUGGAACUUGACUUACUGAAGUUCCUUCUGUCUUAGCCAUUCUCUAUCAUGUCUUGGAGCUAGUACCUCAUAAAAGUUCUUUCAACUUGUGCAUAUUCUAGGCAUGAAAGUCAGAGCUGGUUUUGCUGAGAUUCACACUUCAGUAUUACUGAUCUAAAAGGUCUGUGAACACAUGUAAACCUUUGGAUACUGCUUUGAACUACACUCUAGGGCUUCUUGGAUUGUCUUGCUACUUAAUUAGACCUUCCACACAGGAAAAGAGCAAUGAGCUGGUGUCCCAUCUCCAACAGAUGCCUGUGCCAGAUGCUCAGAGAAACACACACUCCAUUUCCUGUAAUGUGGUCUAUUGUUCAUUUUUAUACUGUGUCACCGAAGCCUUUCUGAGAAUACUCCUAAAAUUUAUGAUGAAAACAAAGAGAAUAUCAACAGCAAAAUGACUAACCUCUAUUUCCAUAUUUGUGCUGUCUAUGUUUUAAUGAAUAUUCUCUCUUCCCUAUUGUUCUAGCACUUAUAAUUUAAUUUCCACUUAAUCAUUUUUGGUAAUUCUAAACUGGACUGUGUGUGCACCACAUAGAGGCCUGAUCACCCCAAUAUCCCAGAGCACCGUAGGAUGACUGAAAUGCCACAUUCGGUCCACUCAUGUUAGGGCAGACUAUGAUAAAGUGUGAUGGUGAGAGCACUACUGGAGUAGUGGAUAAAGAAGAAAAUACAUUCCUGAGGAGAUGCGAAGAUUUUGAAGGAAAAAAAAAAAAAACCUAAUAAAAUUAUAUCCACUGUGUUUUUUUGCUCAUGGCAGUCUCUUUAAGGCUUCUGUUGAGGGCAUUAGAGAGAGGAACACAAGGAGGACAUCCAGCCAGGCAGUAAGCCCACUUACUUAAGAGUCACUACAGAUUUUGCCAUGAAAAAAUACCAGUAAUAUCACUAUUUGUUAUCUGAUACUGCAUCUGACCAAAGGAUAAACUUUAGAAUACUCUUCUAGAAUUAGGUGAGUCUUCAUUCAGAGGCCUCAUGGAAUGGCAGUCACAUUCUUACUUAUUGAAUGAGGUAUGAUAAAGCACAAGAUUUGAAGGCAAACACUCCAAUUUUUAUCACUUACUAGCUAUGGCACAGUCUCUUAGCUCCUACGUGCCAUGUGGAGAUUACCACAAUUUACAUAUAGAGUCACUGUUAAAUUCAAAUGAUAAAAAUAUGCAAAGCAUCUAAGAGCUUAGUACCUGGUGGUGUUCAAUAAAUACUAGUUUCCUGACCACCACUCCUACCCCUAAUACCAAACUUUUCUUUUGAGGAUUAUAUUUUGAUUAUUUGAUAUAUGACAGGUAUCAGCUAAUUACAUGCUGACUGGAUAUUUAGAUAAAAUUACCUCAAUUUCCUCUAUCAUGUUCUAUGUAAAAUCCAAUGCCCUCUCUAAAAUUUCUGCCAGUUCCCAAAAGCUUACAUUCAUGGUUAUGUCUGGAUGCUAGUUUCUGCUUCAGUGAACUCUCAAAUUCCCUUGCAUUUCACUGUCUGCCAUCAUGUGGUUCUCUCAACUCUGUGUUGAUCCCUAUACCAAAAAAUUAUUUGAAAUGAGUAACAUAAGCAACAGAGGGAUACACUCCAGAGAUGGAAGAACUUAGAACAAUAUAUACUGCAUUUCUACACCCCUCUUGCCUAACCAUAGUGGGCAUCCUUUUCCUCAAGUUCAUCUCCUUACCCCUUGGCUGAGCUUUCUUCUCCUAUUUGUUUCCCCUUUUUCUCAUUCACUUACCUCUACCGCUGAAUUACAUUUACUUCUUAGUAUUUAUGUAUCUUUCCUGUUUUCCCACCUUGCUUCUUCAAGAGCUUAUUGUCCACCCUAUAUUAACUUAGUAGAACACAUUCAGUUUUUUCACCAAGAGGAUUGGUUCCCACUCUUAAAAUUGUAUUUUUCAUGUCACUUUAAGAGUACUGAAUACUUUUCUUACUAAAAGUAUAAUUAAUGAGAAGUCUUUUGUACAUAAAUAUAAUUGAAAAUAUAAAGGUGAACUAUCUUUCAACAGCAUAUCAACAUAAGCUUCAUUUAUUUUUUUUU